This 420-nucleotide long non-coding RNA is filed under the name Salmo salar (Atlantic salmon). RNAcentral's name for it is "lncRNA (ENSSSAG00000122145.1)". The record is from RNAcentral. Lineage: Eukaryota; Metazoa; Chordata; Actinopteri; Salmoniformes; Salmonidae.
GUCGCAACUAAAGUUAGAGAUUAAUUUGAGAUCAUCUGUGAUGAGACCAUUAAUAUUUAAUCGUUGAAUUGUAUUAUUUUUAGAGUGGUAUUUUUCUAACCUGAAAAAAUAAGAUGAAUUUUGUCCACCCUCCUCUAGUCACUUCUUCCGAGAUCUGACAAAGGCUCCCUCUGCUUUCAGUUCAUGCAGGUUUCCUCUGCUUUCAGUUUAUACAGGCUCCCUCUGCUUUCAGUUCAUACAGGCUCCCUCUGCUUUCAGUUUAUACAGGCUCCCUCUGCUUUCAGUUCAUACAGGCUCCCUCUGCUUUCAGUUCAUACAGGCUCCCUCUGCUUUCAGUUUAUACAGGCUCCCUCUGCUUUCAGUUCAUACAGGCUCCCUCUGCUUUCAGUUCAUACAGGCUCCCUCUGCUUUCAGUUCAUA